CUGAGCUUGUUCUCUUGGGUGGCUAAACCCACUGAGGACUAUGGACAAUAGUCUCACCCCCGUGUUGCUGUUUUGGGGGUACAGGUACACACGUGUGCGGCGCGGCGGCGCAAGGCGAGGACGUAGUUCUGCAGAUAGCGUCCUACCCAGAGACUGAGAUAGCAGUACCCGAGUUGGUGGUCUAGCUUGGGAGGUUUAAAGACAAGAACAAACUUUUGUUUAAGUUGUAAAAGAAUCUGUAAUAAUUAUGAUUGUAUUUGGAGGUUGAUUGUAAAAGAAAAAUUAUGUUGUAAAAUGCAUCUAAGUUGAAUGCUGUAAUAACUUAGUAGUUUAUGUUUUUGAUACUCCUUAUGCAAUCUAUGGUUGAAUACCUGUUCCUGGUUGGAACCUCUCGUAUUGUAUUGAUUGCGAUGCCUUGAAUGUACAGGGGAGACUCUGUCCGUAGUACAGGGGAAACCCUGUCCAUUCGGCGUGUCGGCGGCGCCGGGACCUCGGCCAAAUAGGCGGGUGGUCGCGGGUCGUGACAGUUGGGGUAUCAGAGCAUAAAGUAGAGAAUGGGAAUGGUUUAGGCAGACCUAGGAGACCCUAGGAUAGUGAAACCAUAGAGGUUAAGACUCGUGAGAGACGAGGAUUUGUGACUUGUGGCGAAAGAUAAUUAAUUGGGUCAAGUGUUGAAACCUCUAAGAC
Molecule: long non-coding RNA, 687 nt
Filed under: Ananas comosus (pineapple)
Lineage: Eukaryota; Viridiplantae; Streptophyta; Magnoliopsida; Poales; Bromeliaceae
Description: long non-coding RNA (ACOM_LNC031463)
Source: RNAcentral